AAGUCGUAACAAGGUAACCGUAGGUGAACCUGCGGUUGGAUCAUUAUUAAAUGAAAAACAAUGGCAGCCCCCCUGGAGGGGAGCCCUGCCGCGUUGGACUUGGUGGUCUGCCUGCGUUCGUUCGUUCGAUGCGGUGCCGGUGCUCUUUUGUCCGGUAUCCAUCAGCGGAUGGGUGCAAUCUGAUCACCAAGGGGCUGCCUUCGGGUAUCUGGUGCAAUGCUGGAUAUCCUGUUUGUUCGAGUGGUUCAGCCAUCGGCGGACAAAGGCAGCUGUGUUCACGCACUUUGUAAAACUUUUUGGAUAACUUGUGCAAAUGCAAAAAACAACUUUUGGCAACGGAUCUCUUGGCUCUC
This 353-nucleotide unclassified non-coding RNA is filed under the name fungal sp. RNAcentral's name for it is "partial internal transcribed spacer region". The stretch from base 1 to 46 matches the Rfam family "Eukaryotic small subunit ribosomal RNA", at positions 1786 to 1831 of the family's 1831-position model. The record is from RNAcentral. Lineage: Eukaryota; Fungi.